GAUGAACGCUGGCGGCGUGCCUAAUACAUGCAAGUCGAGCGAACGGACGAGAAGCUUGCUUCUCUGAUGUUAGCGGCGCACGGGUGAGUAACACGUGGAUAACCUACCUAUAAGACUGGGAUAACUUCGUGAAACCGGCUCUAAUACCGGAUAAUAUUUUGAACCUCAUGGUUCAAAAGUUAAAGACGGUCUUUCUGUCACUUAUAGAUGGAUCCGCGCUGCAUUAGCUAGUUGGUAAGGUAACGGCUUACCAAGGCAACGCUGCAUAGCCGACGUGAGAGGGUGAUCGGCCACACUGGAACUGAGACACGGUCAAGACUCCUACGGGAGGCAGCAGUAGGGAAUCUUCCGCAAUGGGCGAGAGCCUGACGGAGCAACGCCGCGUGAGUGAUGAAGGUCUUCGGAUCGUAAAACUCUGUUAUUAGGGAAGAACAUAUGUGUAAGUAACUGUGCACAUCUUGACGGUACCUAAUCAGAAAGCCACGGCUAACUACGUG
Molecule: ribosomal RNA, 497 nt
Filed under: uncultured bacterium
Lineage: Bacteria
Description: partial 16S ribosomal RNA
Rfam family: Bacterial small subunit ribosomal RNA
Source: RNAcentral